Molecule: unclassified non-coding RNA, 1171 nt
Filed under: Hevea brasiliensis (rubber tree)
Lineage: Eukaryota; Viridiplantae; Streptophyta; Magnoliopsida; Malpighiales; Euphorbiaceae
Source: RNAcentral
UGGCCUUGGAUUGCUUCUUUGCUGUGUGGUUUGUCGUUGGCAAUGUUUGGAUCUUUGGGGGGCACUCUUCUUCUUCUGAGGCUCCCAAUCUGUACAGAUUAUGUAUAGCUUUUCUUACCAUUAGUUGCAUUGGAUAUGCUAUGCCUUUCAUCUUGUGUGCGAUGAUAUGCUGCUGCCUGCCUUGUAUCAUUUCAAUCCUCGGUGUGCGUGAGAAUAUGCAUGGAGUGAGAGGAGCCACAGAAGAGUCCAUCAACGCUCUUCCCACACUCAAGUACAGGGUCAAGACAGAUGGAACUGGAAGUAAUGAAAGUAAAAAUCUAGAAGAGGAGGAAGGUGGUUGUGUAGCUGCUGGCACAGAGAAGGAACGUGCCAUAUCAGGUGAAGAUGCGGUGUGUUGUAUUUGCUUAGCAAAAUAUGAGGACAAUGACGAACUGAGGGAAUUGCCUUGCUCGCAUUUCUUCCAUACACAGUGUGUAGAUAAAUGGCUGAAGAUUAAUGCGACUUGCCCCCUCUGCAAAUCUGAAAUUGACGCCAAGAACAGAGAUCUACCUUCUGUAGAAGAGGAACCCCUCCAACAAUCCUAAGGUGAUGCAGAAACCAACUUCUUAUGGUUGAAACACAGAUCAUCGCGGCUAGCUUGUUGCAUGGGGAACAAGGAGAGUAUAUCCCAACUGUUACUUCUUCUGCUGUUGCUGCUACUGCUACUGCUGUUUCUACCACACGAAUUUCAGUUUGUAUAGUUGUAGCUCAUACCAGGUAUCCAUAACAAGCUUGAAAGAAGAGGUAAUUCCAUUGUUGAUACCCUUACAUCUCUCUCCUGCCUCACCAGCUAUAUGUUGCUCGGAACUUCCAAAAAAAAUGUCAGUUGCACUCGUGUUGGAUCUUCAAAAAAUGCAUAGCUUUUGGAAGAUCUAAACCGGGCGAUAUUUUUGAAGUGUCCAUCAUCUAAUGCAAACAUAGCACACUGUAUAAAUAGAUUUAAGGGUAAAGCUGGGUGUACACCAUUCUCCUCAGGCGUCGCUAUUGGGAUUACACUAGAGAUGCUGUUAUCUCGAACUUUAGUCUCUACUUUGUUAUAAGCUUUUUUUUCUUCUUAUAACACUAAACAACUGUCAUUAUUAACAGUAGUUUCUUUGUGAAAUUAUCUCUUUAUAAUAAUAACCUUAUGCAA